This 218-nucleotide long non-coding RNA is filed under the name Bos taurus (domestic cattle). Its description in RNAcentral is "long non-coding RNA NONBTAT022907". The record is from RNAcentral. Lineage: Eukaryota; Metazoa; Chordata; Mammalia; Artiodactyla; Bovidae.
CCCUUUAUUUUCUUAUUCCUCUGUUCUCUUCUUAGGUGCUAUUAUUACAGAGGGAGCGCAGCCCACCCUGAGUUAGUAGUCCCUCAGCCUCCUCUACCCGAGGCAGCCUGAAGGCUUGGGGGCUGGAGCAAGACCUCUCGGAACCCUCAGUUGCUAUGGUAAUAACAGCCAUAGUAAAAAAUCACUUACUAUGGGCCAGGUACCCUUUGUUCUGAGAA